Molecule: ribosomal RNA, 1464 nt
Filed under: uncultured bacterium
Lineage: Bacteria
Description: 16S ribosomal RNA
Rfam family: Bacterial small subunit ribosomal RNA
Source: RNAcentral
UGAACGCUGGCGGCAGGCCUAACACAUGCAAGUCGAACGGUAACAGGAAACAGCUUGCUGUUUCGCUGACGAGUGGCGGACGGGUGAGUAAUGUCUGGGAAACUGCCUGAUGGAGGGGGAUAACUACUGGAAACGGUAGCUAAUACCGCAUAACGUCGCAAGACCAAAGAGGGGGACCCUCGGGCCUCUUGCCAUCGGAUGUGCCCAGAUGGGAUUAGCUUGUUGGUGGGGUAACGGCUCACCAAGGCGACGAUCCCUAGCUGGUCUGAGAGGAUGACCAGCCACACUGGAACUGAGACACGGUCCAGACUCCUACGGGAGGCAGCAGUGGGGAAUAUUGCACAAUGGGCGCAAGCCUGAUGCAGCCAUGCCGCGUGUAUGAAGAAGGCCUUCGGGUUGUAAAGUACUUUCAGCGGGGAGGAAGGGAGUAAAGUUAAUACCUUUGCUCAUUGACGUUACCCGCAGAAGAAGCACCGGCUAACUCCGUGCCAGCAGCCGCGGUAAUACGGAGGGUGCAAGCGUUAAUCGGAAUUACUGGGCGUAAAGCGCACGCAGGCGGUUUGUUAAGUCAGAUGUGAAAUCCCCGGGCUCAACCUGGGAACUGCAUCUGAUACUGGCAAGCUUGAGUCUCGUAGAGGGGGGGUAGAAUUCCAGGUGUAGCGGUGAAAUGCGUAGAGAUCUGGAGGAAUACCGGUGGCGAAGGCGGCCCCCUGGACGAAGACUGACGCUCAGGUGCGAAAGCGUGGGGAGCAAACAGGAUUAGAUACCCUGGUAGUCCACGCCGUAAACGAUGUCGACUUGGAGGUUGUGCCCUUGAGGCGUGGCUUCCGGAGCUAACGCGUUAAGUCGACCGCCUGGGGAGUACGGCCGCAAGGUUAAAACUCAAAUGAAUUGACGGGGGCCCGCACAAGCGGUGGAGCAUGUGGUUUAAUUCGAUGCAACGCGAAGAACCUUACCUGGUCUUGACAUCCACGGAAGUUUUCAGAGAUGAGAAUGUGCCUUCGGGAACCGUGAGACAGGUGCUGCAUGGCUGUCGUCAGCUCGUGUUGUGAAAUGUUGGGUUAAGUCCCGCAACGAGCGCAACCCUUAUCCUUUGUUGCCAGCGGUCCGGCCGGGAACUCAAAGGAGACUGCCAGUGAUAAACUGGAGGAAGGUGGGGAUGACGUCAAGUCAUCAUGGCCCUUACGACCAGGGCUACACACGUGCUACAAUGGCGCAUACAAAGAGAAGCGACCUCGCGAGAGCAAGCGGACCUCAUAAAGUGCGUCGUAGUCCGGAUUGGAGUCUGCAACUCGACUCCAUGAAGUCGGAAUCGCUAGUAAUCGUGGAUCAGAAUGCCACGGUGAAUACGUUCCCGGGCCUUGUACACACCGCCCGUCACACCAUGGGAGUGGGUUGCAAAAGAAGUAGGUAGCUUAACCUUCGGGAGGGCGCUUACCACUUUGUGAUUCAUGACUGGGGUGA